RNAcentral lists this ribosomal RNA (392 nucleotides) under uncultured ammonia-oxidizing bacterium. RNAcentral describes it as "bacterial SSU rRNA". It matches the Rfam family "Bacterial small subunit ribosomal RNA", at positions 223 to 607 of the family's 1533-position model. The record is from RNAcentral.
GGAGUGGCCGAUGCCUGAUUAGCUAGUUGGUGGGGUAAGGGCCUACCAAGGCGACGAUCAGUAGUUGGUCUGAGAGGACGACCAGCCACACUGGGACUGAGACACGGCCCAGACUCCUACGGGAGGCAGCAGUGGGGAAUUUUGGACAAUGGGCGAAAGCCUGAUCCAGCAAUGCCGCGUGAGUGAAGAAGGCCUUCGGGUUGUAAAGCUCUUUCAGUCGAGAAGAAAAGGUUGUGAUUAAUAAUCACAAUUCAUGACGGUAUCGACAGAAGAAGCACCGGCUAACUACGUGCCAGCAGCCGCGGUAAUACGUAGGGUGCGAGCGUUAAUCGGAAUUACUGGGCGUAAAGGGUGCGCAGGCGGCUUUGUAAGUCAGAUGUGAAAUCCCCGGG